RNAcentral lists this non-coding RNA (176 nucleotides) under Sporosarcina newyorkensis. The record is from RNAcentral. Lineage: Bacteria; Bacillati; Bacillota; Bacilli; Caryophanales; Caryophanaceae.
AAUAAACUAAUUUAAAUAAGUGCUCACAUUGUGAGGUAAAAGGGAAACUAGUGAAAGUCUAGUACAGCCCCCGCUACUGUAAAGCUGAUGAAAUUACAAUACCACUGAGAAAUCGGGAAGGUGUAAGAGUAAAAUGAAGCUUGAGUCAGGAAACCUGCUUAUUUAAACGACACAUA